This 468-nucleotide ribosomal RNA is filed under the name uncultured bacterium. RNAcentral's name for it is "partial 16S ribosomal RNA". It matches the Rfam family "Bacterial small subunit ribosomal RNA", at positions 28 to 507 of the family's 1533-position model. The record is from RNAcentral.
GACGAACGCUGGCGGCGUGCUUAACACAUGCAAGUCGAACGGAAAGGCCCUGCUUUUGUGGGGUGCUCGAGUGGCGAAGGGGUGAGUAACACGUGAGUAACCUGCCCUUGACUUUGGGAUAACUCCAGGAAACUGGGGCUAAUACCGGAUAGGAGCUCCUGCUGCAUGGUGGGGGUUGGAAAGUUUCGGCGGUUGGGGAUGGACUCGCGGCUUAUCAGCUUGUUGGUGGGGUAGUGGCUUACCAAGGCUUUGACGGGUAGCCGGCCUGAGAGGGUGACCGGCGACAUUGGGACUGAGAUACGGCCCAGACUCCUACGGGAGGCAGCGGUGGGGAAUAUUGCACAAUGGGCGGAAGCCUGAGGCAGCAACGCCGCGUGCGGGAUGACGGCCUUCGGGUUAUGAACCGCUUUCGCCGGUGACGAAGCGUGAGUGACGGUAAUGGGUAAAGAAGCACCGGCUAACUACGUG